This is a long non-coding RNA of Pygocentrus nattereri (red-bellied piranha), 3809 nucleotides long. RefSeq lists it as uncharacterized. The transcript has 3 exons. Lineage: Eukaryota; Metazoa; Chordata; Actinopteri; Characiformes; Serrasalmidae. The record is from RefSeq and is a predicted model, not a curated record.
UAACAAUUUGAACAAUGGCUGCGCGUCUCAGGAUAAUGUCCUCACAGGAGAAGAGUUAAAGAAAGACACGUAAAUAUUCCUGUUUGAUUGCUCUCCUGCUCAACCUAUUUCCACUAAUCCACAAAAAUAAAAAGUUAGCUUUGAUCACACCAACAUUUAUUCGUGUACAGCAGCAGCAUCCUUGUUAGCUUCGGUAAUGAAAGAGGUUCAAUUUGCAACAAGGCUCUUACCAGAACUAUUUUUAAGCACAGCAGUCAUGAGAGGGAAACAAACAAAGCAAGAACAGAACAAAGAAUAAACCUCCUUAAAAAAACACAGAGAGAGAAACUGAGAGAGCUGAAGGUGGCAGGGACAUGGGGAAGUUAAAAAAGGGAAAAGGUUAGUUGGGUGGCCUUUAUAGAUCUGUGUGUCUGUGCAGGGGGAUCAGCAGGCACUGGCUGAUGAACUUCACUUUCUAUUAGUGGCCAUUGCGCGGAUGUUCUUUCCCUGCCGAUCAAUAGGCUGAAGGACAAGAGUGUCAGAAAAAUGAAGGACCCUUCUCUUUCUUGGCAAGCCAGGGUGGGAGCGGAGGGUGAGGCGCUGAGUGCCAGGGAGCCCAGGGGUCCCUCUGGAGCCACUUUGACUGAAGGAGCCCAUUUGCGAGCAGGAUCCACAGAGUACUGGCAGUGGGUUUGGACAUGCCCAGCACUUUUGAUAGGCUGAAAGCAGCUGCACUAAAGCAAGAUAAAGCUCCACCAUCAAGAUGAUGAACAGUGUGGAUGAAGAGGCUUCGCACUGAGCACAAAGGCCGGAGCGGAGAGGCUGAGGCAGCGGUGAGGACAGCUGAAGAAUGCCAUGCCGGGCAAGGAUGAAUAGCUCUCAUUUGUGAAUAUACAGAUCCGCAUGGUAGAGGAGGAGGAGAGAAAGAGAGAGAGAGGGCAAGGGAGAGAGAUGGAGUGGAGGCAGGGAGAAAAAAAUGUAAAGGAAAAACGAGGCAGAGGAAAAAAUCCACAGGUCAUAAUAAAUAAAGUUGGGAGAGCAUGGUGGCUAAUGAUAAACGUGGCAAUGGGAAACACACAGUGAGGGGUAUAGAGAGUGUGCGUGUAUGAGCAUGGGAAAAACAGCUGUAGAAGAAGAGGUUGGGGCUCAUUUUCUCCACUCAUCUCAUAGGGGUAAUUAAGCAGUGGCCUGCAUUGCCUGAUAUAUUAGUCUAAUGAUGUGCUCCCGUGUUUCACGUUAAGCUCGUCUCUCCUGGUAGUGUUUGCCAUGUUGUUUCAUACAGGAACUGAACCAGCAUGUACCACUCAAAGACCUGGGCUGUCCAGCCCCCUGCACUGGAGAUGCCUUUCAUUUCAAUUAGCUGGCACAACAGCUCCUGUACACCUGCUCUGAGCUGAGCUUGUUUAAUUUUAUUGCAACAACCAUGAAAUGCAAUGAUCAAUACAUUGUUGCCACUAGUUUGCCAUUUAGAAGCUGCAUUACAGACCUGUGCAUUUGUUACUUGCGCCCGCUCUUUCUCUCUCUCUUUCACAUGUCCCCCUCAUUCUCUUCUUUAAAGAUGUCUGGAAUAUUAAGCUGUGACCCCCUGCUGCCCCAUCUCCCCCCAUCUCAAGCUAAAAGCACAGUGUCCUUUUUAGUCGGAACAAAACCCUUUUGCUCCAGUGUUGCAGGAGUGCUGCAUUCAGGUGGGACCCCCCCCCUUCCCCCCGCCUUCUCAGCCCUGUGCCCCAAAGAGCCUCCCAAUCAAUAGAGAUGUAAAUAAGUUCAGACAGUUGCCAGACCUUUGUCUACGUCUUACAUUCGAGAGGCAUCACAAGGAUCUUUUUUUUUUUGUCAGUGUCCCUUGUUUUGUAUGCUUUCAUUGCACGUCUGGGCAGAGAUUUUUAAUCUGUUUAGCUCAGUGUUUAUGGAAAACAGCCUGUUACAAACUCACAUACAUACAAUAUUCCUGCUCUAAUUCGCUAGCAUGUAUGAUGUGUGUCCACCUCAAUCAACUGUGUUAUCGUUCACUCUUUUUCUAUAUUUUCACCUUUCAAAUGAAAAGGUUGUAACUUUAACAGUAUCGUUCCUGUGUUGAUGGGGAUAAGCGCACAGCUGAAAGCCCAUCCAGGUUUGCAAAAAGCAAAAGUUCUCAGGUCACAAUACUGGAAUGCAUUAGUAAUAACCGAUAAUUAACACCUGUCCCACGGGAUGCUUUAUGGACGUUUUGAAUGAUAAAAAAAAGUUUAAACUGCCUUCGUUCCCAUCUGCUUCAUGAAAUUUGCAGUGAUGAUAUGAGGAUUCUAUGCACUAAAUGGUUAAACAUGUUUAAUCACUUCAGUUUCAUAGCAAAUACCCAGUAAUAUCAACUCACAGAACUUACAUCUCUAAUUUCUAGGAAACUGUGUCACCUGAACUGGCAUUAACCUGAGAGGACAUUUCUGAUAAAAGUCUGUCAUUUCAUUACAGUGAAUCCUGUAGCAGUGUUUAUCCCAGCUGUCACUUAAAUGCAGUCUUUCCUAUAGCCAUUCUCUACAACACAUUCACUUCAGUCAAUUUAAGAUGGUUUCAGACAUCACUGCAGAGCUCAAAAUGCCUAAAACUGACAUGAUGAGAAAUUGUUAUGGUUUGUUGUUUGGUUUGCAUUCACGCUUGUUUCUGCCUGUAUAUCGCUGUCCAAAAAAUGUGUAUCAGAUUUCAGUAACUUAUAUAGCGUACAUUGACUUGUUUACUGUAGAAUAACUUACAUAGUGUAGAAUGUAAUAAACUGUUUUCUAAGUUAAAACACAAACUAGUUUGUUAUUUCCAAAUGAAAAUAUUCUGAAAACAAUGACAGACAUGGUAAAAAAGAACAAAUGUUACACAAGUUACUAAAUAAUGAACAGAAAGAUUCUACUUAUAAUUCUCACAAUAAAAAGCAGAUUUUCUUGUCUAUGGUAUGUUUUGUUACUAUGAAUAGCUUUUUAGUUGACUAGACUUGGUCACCAUUUAGGAAUAUGAGAUAUUCUAGAUAUUAAUUAUAAGUUAAUUCUCAGUGUUAAGCAGUGCUUUCAAGUAUUUUGGAAGCACUCAUCAUUGAAACCUUUUUUGAAAAGUUGAAAAUAUAUACAGCUUCCAACUGUAGAGUGUUUUGUUAUACAUGUGCCUGCAACAGAAGAGAUUUUACAUUAUGGAAAAUAGGGAUUCCAGACUUUUUGGCCCAUAUUCCAUUUAUUCAUUUAUUUACUUAACAGCAACAGAACAUUAUAACUGUGUGCAGUAUUUACUAUUUGUUUGGGAACAUGCUGAUAGAGCAUGCUGAAAACAUCUUAAUAUUCUGUUAACAUAAUAACGACUUACUAUUAGGUUAGUAUGCCUGUAGCAUGGCCUCCUACACAUAGUUCUUUAGUGUAACCAGGAAAGAUCACGACCAUAGUUGUUAUUAAUUGAUUGCUAUUGUGCUUUACACCAGGAUAAUUAUUUACAAGUUCUUAUCCAUAAUAAAGGUUUGAUUUUCAUUGGGUUUAGCACCUUGUCUUGUCAGUACUUGAGGAAAAGCUGAGCGCAUUGCUUUCGUCUUUAUCACCAGGCAUAAUGGUCAGAGUGACAGCAGUGUAGUAGUUGUUGAUGCCAUAAUGUGGCACCGGGGCAGUUUUUCUCACUAACACCUACUCUAUGUGCCCCUUGUGAACAUGUGCUAUUUCCACGGGCGCUGCAGACUCUUCACACCUGAAAAUGCAGCAGAGACACCAACUCGCUUCCAAUUAGCAUCUCGCUCCCAUAAGAGCCUCGCACACCCAGACACACACUCGCACACAGACAUGCACACGCGAACCUGCAACACCAUAUCAUUCAGGCUGCUUAAGGUUAAU